Molecule: ribosomal RNA, 987 nt
Filed under: Ectopseudomonas mendocina
Lineage: Bacteria; Pseudomonadati; Pseudomonadota; Gammaproteobacteria; Pseudomonadales; Pseudomonadaceae
Description: bacterial SSU rRNA
Rfam family: Bacterial small subunit ribosomal RNA
Source: RNAcentral
GGCAUGCGCAGGCUACACAUGCAGUCGAGCGGAUGAUGGGAGCUUGCUCCCUGAUUUAGCGGCGGACGGGUGAGUAAUGCCUAGGAAUCUGCCUGGUAGUGGGGGAUAACGUUCCGAAAGGAACGCUAAUACCGCAUACGUCCUACGGGAGAAAGCAGGGGACCUUCGGGCCUUGCGCUAUCAGAUGAGCCUAGGUCGGAUUAGCUAGUUGGUGAGGUAAUGGCUCACCAAGGCGACGAUCCGUAACUGGUCUGAGAGGAUGAUCAGUCACACUGGAACUGAGACACGGUCCAGACUCCUACGGGAGGCAGCAGUGGGGAAUAUUGGACAAUGGGCGAAAGCCUGAUCCAGCCAUGCCGCGUGUGUGAAGAAGGUCUUCGGAUUGUAAAGCACUUUAAGUUGGGAGGAAGGGCUGCUGGUUAAUACCCUGCAGUUUUGACGUUACCAACAGAAUAAGCACCGGCUAACUUCGUGCCAGCAGCCGCGGUAAUACGAAGGGUGCAAGCGUUAAUCGGAAUUACUGGGCGUAAAGCGCGCGUAGGUGGUUUUGUAAGUUGGAGGUGAAAUCCCCGGGCUCAACCUGGGAACUGCCUCCAAAACUGCAUGACUAGAGUACGGUAGAGGGUGGUGGAAUUUCCUGUGUAGCGGUGAAAUGCGUAGAUAUAGGAAGGAACACCAGUGGCGAAGGCGACCACCUGGACUGAUACUGACACUGAGGUGCGAAAGCGUGGGGAGCAAACAGGAUUAGAUACCCUGGUAGUCCACGCCGUAAACGAUGUCAACUAGCCCGUUGGAAUCCUUGAGAUUUUAGUGGGCGCAGCUAACGCAUUAAGUUUGACCGCCCUGGGGGAGUACGGCCCGCCACGGUUAAAACUCCAAUGGAUUUGACCGGGGGCCCCCCACAAACGGUGGAAGCAUGUGGGUUUAUUUCCAAAGCAACCGCGAAAAAACCUUACCCUGGCCCUUGACAUGGCUGAGAACUUUUCC